Molecule: unclassified non-coding RNA, 263 nt
Filed under: plant metagenome
Description: partial contains small subunit ribosomal RNA, internal transcribed spacer 1, and 5.8S ribosomal RNA
Source: RNAcentral
UUUCCGUAGGUGAACCUGCGGAAGGAUCAUUAUUGUAUAACCGAGGUGCGAGGGCUGUCGCUGACCCGAAAGGUCGUGCACGCCCGAGUGCCCUCACACACAUCCCUCUCACCCCGAUGUGCACCACCGCGUGGGUCCCCCUUUGGCUUGUUCGGAGGGGGGCUUACGUUUUCACACAAACUUUGUAUGCAGUGUAGAAUGUAUUUUUUGUUUUUGCGAUCACGCAAUCAAUACAACUUUCAACAACGGAUCUCUUGGCUCUC